RNAcentral lists this ribosomal RNA (765 nucleotides) under Acinetobacter lwoffii. RNAcentral describes it as "bacterial SSU rRNA". It matches the Rfam family "Bacterial small subunit ribosomal RNA", at positions 557 to 1322 of the family's 1533-position model. Lineage: Bacteria; Pseudomonadati; Pseudomonadota; Gammaproteobacteria; Moraxellales; Moraxellaceae. The record is from RNAcentral.
GGCGUAAGCGCGCGUAGGUGGCCAAUUAAGUCAAAUGUGAAAUCCCCGAGCUUAACUUGGGAAUUGCAUUCGAUACUGGUUGGCUAGAGUAUGGGAGAGGAUGGUAGAAUUCCAGGUGUAGCGGUGAAAUGCGUAGAGAUCUGGAGGAAUACCGAUGGCGAAGGCAGCCAUCUGGCCUAAUACUGACACUGAGGUGCGAAAGCAUGGGGAGCAAACAGGAUUAGAUACCCUGGUAGUCCAUGCCGUAAACGAUGUCUACUAGCCGUUGGGGCCUUUGAGGCUUUAGUGGCGCAGCUAACGCGAUAAGUAGACCGCCUGGGGAGUACGGUCGCAAGACUAAAACUCAAAUGAAUUGACGGGGGCCCGCACAAGCGGUGGAGCAUGUGGUUUAAUUCGAUGCAACGCGAAGAACCUUACCUGGUCUUGACAUAGUAAGAACUUUCCAGAGAUGGAUUGGUGCCUUCGGGAACUUACAUACAGGUGCUGCAUGGCUGUCGUCAGCUCGUGUCGUGAGAUGUUGGGUUAAGUCCCGCAACGAGCGCAACCCUUUUCCUUAUUUGCCAGCGGGUUAAGCCGGGAACUUUAAGGAUACUGCCAGUGACAAACUGGAGGAAGGCGGGGACGACGUCAAGUCAUCAUGGCCCUUACGACCAGGGCUACACACGUGCUACAAUGGUCGGUACAAAGGGUUGCUACCUCGCGAGAGGAUGCUAAUCUCAAAAAGCCGAUCGUAGUCCGGAUUGGAGUCUGCAACUCGACUCCAUG